This 466-nucleotide ribosomal RNA is filed under the name uncultured bacterium. RNAcentral's name for it is "bacterial SSU rRNA". It matches the Rfam family "Bacterial small subunit ribosomal RNA", at positions 328 to 792 of the family's 1533-position model. The record is from RNAcentral.
GUCCCAGACUCCUACGGGAGGCAGCAGUGAGGAAUAUUGGUCAAUGGGCGAGAGCCUGAACCAGCCAAGUCGCGUGAGGGAGGACGGCCCUACGGGUUGUAAACCUCUUUUGCCGGGGGACAAACGGCGGCACGCGUGCCGUCCUGAGGGUACCCGGAGAAAAAGCAUCGGCUAACUCCGUGCCAGCAGCCGCGGUAAUACGGAGGAUGCGAGCGUUAUCCGGAUUUAUUGGGUUUAAAGGGUGCGCAGGCGGAUUUUUAAGUCAGCGGUAAAAUCGGGGGGCUCAACCCCAUCCAGCCGUUGAAACUGGGGAUCUAGAGUGUGCGAGAGGUAUGCGGAAUGCGUGGUGUAGCGGUGAAAUGCAUAGAUAUCACGCAGAACCCCGAUUGCGAAGGCAGCAUACCGGUGCACAACUGACGCUCAGGCACGAAAGCGUGGGUAUCGAACAGGAUUAGAUACCCUUGUA